Molecule: ribosomal RNA, 498 nt
Filed under: uncultured bacterium
Lineage: Bacteria
Description: bacterial SSU rRNA
Rfam family: Bacterial small subunit ribosomal RNA
Source: RNAcentral
GACGAACGCUGGCGGCGUGCUUAACACAUGCAAGUCGAGCGGAAAGGCCUUCGGGGGUACUCGAGCGGCGAACGGGUGAGUAACACGUGAGUGAUCUGCCCCUCACUCUGGGAUAACUGCCUGAAAGGGUGGCUAAUACCGGAUAUUCACAUGCUGCUGCAUGGUGGUGUGUGGGAAGCUUUUGUGGUGGGGGAUGUGCUCGCGGCCUAUCAGCUUGUUGGUGGGGUAAUGGCCUACCAAGGCUUUGACGGGUAGCCGGCCUGAGAGGGUGACCGGCCACACUGGGACUGAGACACGGCCCAGACUCCUACGGGAGGCAGCAGUGGGGAAUAUUGGACAAUGGGCGGAAGCCUGAUCCAGCAACGCCGCGUGAGGGAUGACGGCCUUCGGGUUGUAAACCUCUUUCAGCACAGACGAAGCUGCCUCCACGUGUGGGGGUGGUGACGGUAUGUGCAGAAGAAGCACCGGCCAACUACGUGCCAGCAGCCGCCGUAAAAC